CCUUCGGGAGGCAGCAGUGAGGAAUAUUGGUCAAUGGCCGGAAGGCUGAACCAGCCAAGCCGCGUGAAGGACGAAGGUGCCAAGCAUUGUAAACUUCUUUUGUCAAGGGACAAAAUCAGGCUCGAGAGCCUGACCGAGGGUACUUGAAGAAAAAGCAUCGGCUAACUCCGUGCCAGCAGCCGCGGUAAUACGGAGGAUGCGAGCGUUAUCCGGAUUUAUUGGGUUUAAAGGGUGCGUAGGCGGACUGUUAAGUCAGCGGUAAAAGCCCGGGGCUCAACCCCGGCGAGCCGUUGAAACUGGGAGGCUUGAGUAUGUUUGAGGCAGGCGGAAUGCGUGGUGUAGCGGUGAAAUGCUUAGAUAUCACGCAGAACCCCGAUUGCGAAGGCAGCCUGCCAAGCCAUGACUGACGCUGAUGCACGAAAGCGUGGGGAUCAAACAGGAUUAGAUACCCUUGUAGUC
RNAcentral lists this ribosomal RNA (459 nucleotides) under uncultured bacterium. RNAcentral's name for it is "partial 16S ribosomal RNA". It matches the Rfam family "Bacterial small subunit ribosomal RNA", at positions 338 to 795 of the family's 1533-position model. The record is from RNAcentral.